GACGAACGCUGGCGGCGUGCCUAAUACAUGCAAGUAGAACGCACAGUUUAUACCGUAGCUUGCUACACCAUAGACUGUGAGUUGCGAACGGGUGAGUAACGCGUAGGUAACCUGCCUGGUAGCGGGGGAUAACUAUUGGAAACGAUAGCUAAUACCGCAUAAUAUUAAUUAUUGCAUGAUAAUUAAUUGAAAGGUGCAAUUGCACCACUACCAGAUGGACCUGCGUUGUAUUAGCUAGUAGGUGAGGUAACGGCUCACCUAGGCGACGAUACAUAGCCGACCUGGGAGGGUGGUCGGCCACACUGGGACUGAGACACGGCCCAGACUCCUACGGGAGGCAGCAGUAGGGAAUCUUCGGCAAUGGACGAAAGUCUGACCGAGCAACGCCGCGUGAGUGAAGAAGGGUUUCGGAUCGUAAAGCUCUGUUGUAAGAGAAGAACGGGUGUGAGAGUGGAAAGUUCACACUGUGACGGUAUCUUACCAGAAAGGGACGGCUAACUACGUG
Molecule: ribosomal RNA, 505 nt
Filed under: uncultured bacterium
Lineage: Bacteria
Description: partial 16S ribosomal RNA
Rfam family: Bacterial small subunit ribosomal RNA
Source: RNAcentral